RNAcentral lists this ribosomal RNA (253 nucleotides) under uncultured bacterium. RNAcentral's name for it is "partial 16S ribosomal RNA". It matches the Rfam family "Bacterial small subunit ribosomal RNA", at positions 524 to 776 of the family's 1533-position model. The record is from RNAcentral.
GACGAACCGUGCGAACGUUGUUCGGAAUCACUGGGCUUAAAGGGCGCGUAGGCGGUCGAUCAAGUCCGGGGUGAAAUCUUUCGGCUUAACCGGAAAAGUGCCUUGGAUACUGGUCGGCUCGAGGGAUGUAGGGGCAGCUGGAACUUCCAGUGGAGCGGUGAAAUGCGUUGAUAUUGGAAGGAACGCCGGUGGCGAAAGCGAGCUGCUGGACAUCUUCUGACGCUGAGGCGCGAAAGCUAGGGGAGCAAACGGG